CUUGUGUCCCUUUAAAACUGCUUCAAUUCAAGGAAUACUAUUCUUCAAAGAUCCACUUAUUCUAUUUAUAAGUAGCAAUGAUUUUUUUGUAUAUGUGUUUACAGAAUAAAUAUCAGAGAGCACUUGCGCAAUGAUAUGGGAAAUACCGGGUGACGGUAGCCAAAACAAUCAAUAUAUUGCUCAGUAUAAAGAGAGUUUAUAACCCACGAAAACUAAUUUAAAAGUAAACUAUAUAUACAGUAGUGGAUCCAGGGGGAGGGAACCGGGGGUUGGCUUCCCGUUCUUGGAGGAUUAAUACAUUUGAAUGAGGACAUAUAGUUGGACGCCCCCCCCUUUUUUUGGUCCUAGGCUGGAUUCGCCCCUGAUAUGUAUUAAUGUUAUGUUGACAUAUCUUAAUUUGGAAAAGGUCUAAUGCAUUUUUUCAUUUUUUUUGUUUUUUCUUAGCUUUUUUUUUAACACUAAAUACAAGAAACAAGUAGAUCUUUAUUUGAUGCAUCGUAAAUCCGUAUGACGUCACGUGCAUGGUUGUUGGUAUUAUACGGAUUUGCUUUCCAGUUCGUAUUUAUUGUAUUUAAUCGAAGUUUCGGAAUUGAUAAAUUUAUCCAAAUAGCACUCUAACUAUCUGUAUGUGCCAGUUGUAUUUUAAGAUAUAUAUGUAACAACUAUAGCCAUUGAGCAUCAUUUAAUGUCCUUUUCUGUAUUCAGUCAUCUUAAUUAUUGUCUGACCGGCCGUCAGGUGGAGUUUUCGAAAGUCAAAGUUAAAAAAAAAU
This 770-nucleotide long non-coding RNA is filed under the name Mytilus galloprovincialis (Mediterranean mussel). The record is from RNAcentral. Lineage: Eukaryota; Metazoa; Mollusca; Bivalvia; Mytilida; Mytilidae.